Long non-coding RNA from Lingula anatina, 213 nucleotides. Lineage: Eukaryota; Metazoa; Brachiopoda; Lingulata; Lingulida; Lingulidae. The record is from RefSeq and is a predicted model, not a curated record.
CAGAAUGGGGAACUUGCACUGGAUUUUGUGGACAUUUCUGUUUAAUUCUUUACAAACACACCCUUUAGACACUUUUCAAAGCAAAGUGGGGACAUCCAGAUGGGUGAUUGAACUACAUAAUGAAAGUCAUAUUCCUCUUCUAGCAAAGGAGAUGAAGUUAAAAAGUGUUAGAAAGAUGUUUGGGAACCAUUUUCGCAUUGACUUCGGGAAUGG